CCGAGUCGCACUAGAUAAAUAUUUCGAAUGAAACAAGCACACGUCGGACACCAAAACCGUUGGAAGGGGAAGAAGCGGUUUUCGUUUUUCCUCGAGUUUAAACACAACUUUCUGGUGACUAGCGCAGAACCUUGGGGGAUGCCGGAGACGCGUAUUAAAGGUCAAUCUUAAGACGUCGUCUGUACGCAAGAGCCUUAAUCAUAUCCACGUUUUUCAAUUUUAAACCUAUUCUCAAGUCCACCGAGGCCUCCUUUCUGAAGAGCGGCGUCACGUCUUCAAAGCUGUUUAGAAAUGAUUCGCGUAACGCAAACUGAUACUACGCGCUUCGACCGAACAUUAGAAACGUUAGUAUUCCGAGGAAAAGUAUGGGUUAUUUAGUGUAAUAAUAACGCCAGUGAAGGAUUUCAGUUACACGAUGGAAAAACUCAAACUCAUGACGCGUACGUAAAACACGUCUUUUGACUGUUUGUCACUUUUAUCAUGUGACUGUUAUAGUAUAUCAAAUCACGAAAUAAAAACUACAAAAAAAAAAACAACAAAACAAAAACAUUUUGUAAUGUUUUCCGUUCCAAUUUAUAGCCUAGUUUCUUAUUCCUGAUGUCAGUUGAUGAAUUUGAUGAAUCAAGUCCUGGCUCGUUCCAAGUAAAUAACGGCGUCCCUCCUGACUCCUGAAACAUAAUCGGUUCCUGUGCAUUGUUUGCGAUCUCUCUGUGGAUUUGUUUGUUUGUUUGUUUGUUUGUUCACUCCUUUUUACAAUUCUGUGAUCUACUGCGAAUGCACUUUAUUUUACGUCGGAAUGGAUCUUCUUUUACAUGGACGUAUAAUAUGUACUGUAUUCAUUUACCACGUAGAGAAAUGUACACCGAAAUGCAGAUAUUCUGUUUAACGUGAAUGUUUUAGAGAGGAAAAUAAAGGAACAGUCAUUGAUUAUGGACCGAUUAUUUACUUGCGCUGUCGGUUAUCUCACUCUCACUGUUCUUUCUUUCUUUCUUUCUAUUUAUUUACAAGCGCUUUUGAUUAUCAGUCGAUGCAGACGUGCCGCCUGUUUGUGUGACCAAAUGAAUAAACUGAUCUUGAUUAGAAGGUUUAAAAAAAAACGUUUUUUUUUUAUGACUUUAGCGUAACACCACGAAUCUACUAAAAACAUGUACUACUGAUUUGUUUGUCCGAUUAUUCAGCGCUCA
This is a long non-coding RNA of Ictalurus punctatus (channel catfish), 1184 nucleotides long. Lineage: Eukaryota; Metazoa; Chordata; Actinopteri; Siluriformes; Ictaluridae. The record is from Ensembl.